AUUGAACGCUGGCGGCAGGCCUAACACAUGCAAGUCGAACGGUAACAGGAAGAAGCUUGCUUCUUUGCUGACGAGUGGCGGACGGGUGAGUAAUGUCUGGGAAACUGCCUGAUGGAGGGGGAUAACUACUGGAAACGGUAGCUAAUACCGCAUAACGUCGCAAGACCAAAGAGGGGGACCUUCGGGCCUCUUGCCAUCGGAUGUGCCCAGAUGGGAUUAGCUAGUAGGUGGGGUAACGGCUCACCUAGGCGACGAUCCCUAGCUGGUCUGAGAGGAUGACCAGCCACACUGGAACUGAGACACGGUCCAGACUCCUACGGGAGGCAGCAGUGGGGAAUAUUGCACAAUGGGCGCAAGCCUGAUGCAGCCAUGCCGCGUGUAUGAAGAAGGCCUUCGGGUUGUAAAGUACUUUCAGCGGGGAGGAAGGGAGUAAAGUUAAUACCUUUGCUCAUUGACGUUACCCGCAGAAGAAGCACCGGCUAACUCCGUGCCAGCAGCCGCGGUAAUACGGAGGGUGCAAGCGUUAAUCGGAAUUACUGGGCGUAAAGCGCACGCAGGCGGUUUGUUAAGUCAGAUGUGAAAUCCCCGGGCUCAACCUGGGAACUGCAUCUGAUACUGGCAAGCUUGAGUCUCGUAGAGGGGGGUAGAAUUCCAGGUGUAGCGGUGAAAUGCGUAGAGAUCUGGAGGAAUACCGGUGGCGAAGGCGGCCCCCUGGACGAAGACUGACGCUCAGGUGCGAAAGCGUGGGGAGCAAACAGGAUUAGAUACCCUGGUAGUCCACGCCGUAAACGAUGUCGACUUGGAGGUUGUGCCCUUGAGGCGUGGCUUCCGGAGCUAACGCGUUAAGUCGACCGCCUGGGGAGUACGGCCGCAAGGUUAAAACUCAAAUGAAUUGACGGGGGCCCGCACAAGCGGUGGAGCAUGUGGUUUAAUUCGAUGCAACGCGAAGAACCUUACCUGGUCUUGACAUCCACGGAAGUUUUCAGAGAUGAGAAUGUGCCUUCGGGAACCGUGAGACAGGUGCUGCAUGGCUGUCGUCAGCUCGUGUUGUGAAAUGUUGGGUUAAGUCCCGCAACGAGCGCAACCCUUAUCCUUUGUUGCCAGCGGUCCGGCCGGGAACUCAAAGGAGACUGCCAGUGAUAAACUGGAGGAAGGUGGGGAUGACGCCAAGUCAUCAUGGCCCUUACGACCAGGGCUACACACGUGCUACAAUGGCGCAUACAAAGAGAAGCGACCUCGCGAGAGCAAGCGGACCUCAUAAAGUGCGUCGUAGUCCGGAUUGGAGUCUGCAACUCGACUCCAUGAAGUCGGAAUCGCUAGUAAUCGUGGAUCAGAAUGCCACGGUGAAUACGUUCCCGGGCCUUGUACACACCGCCCGUCACACCAUGGGAGUGGGUUGCAAAAGAAGUAGGUAGCUUAACCUUCGGGAGGGCGCUUACCACUUUGUGAUUCAUGACUGGGGUGAAGUC
This 1469-nucleotide ribosomal RNA is filed under the name uncultured bacterium. RNAcentral describes it as "bacterial SSU rRNA". It matches the Rfam family "Bacterial small subunit ribosomal RNA". The record is from RNAcentral.